GAAAGUUUGCUGUUCCGAGGAAUUUCAAGGCCUGAAAAAGAUGCUCAAUUCAAUGAAAAAAAAAAAUGUUCUUCCCCGUAGUUCAUCUAUCAUCUGUCAAUUCACAAGAAAUAUUAGCUACAUGAGUCAACCAGUUUGCUCGGUUUCAGAUAUUUUGGCAUCUUUUUGACUCGUUACAGCCGGCUUUUGCCAAGAAGCUCAUGAUUUGGA
RNAcentral lists this long non-coding RNA (210 nucleotides) under Spirodela polyrhiza (greater duckweed). RNAcentral's name for it is "long non-coding RNA (SPOL_LNC000870)". The record is from RNAcentral. Lineage: Eukaryota; Viridiplantae; Streptophyta; Magnoliopsida; Alismatales; Araceae.